AGUGAACGCUGGCGGCGUGCCUAAUACAUGCAAGUCGAACGAAGUGGCGCACGGGUGAGUAAUAUAUAGUUAAUCUGCCCUAUACAGAGGAACAACAGUUGGAAACGACUGCUAAUACCUCAUAGUGUAGGAUGAGACUAUAUCGUAUCAGCUAGUUGGUAAGGUAAUGGCUUACCAAGGCUAUGACGCGUAACUGGUCUGAGAGGAUGAUCAGUCGCAUUCGAACGGAGGCACGGUCCAGACUCCUUCGGCAGGCGGCAGUAGUGUAUAUUGCGCAAGGGGCGUGACCCUAACGCAUCAUCGCCGCGUAAAGGAUGACACUUUUCGUAGAGUAAACUCCUUUUUUCAGGAAAGCGGUACCUGAUGAAUAAGCACCGGCUAACUCCGUGCCAGCAGCCGCGGUAAUUC
This 408-nucleotide ribosomal RNA is filed under the name uncultured bacterium. RNAcentral's name for it is "partial 16S ribosomal RNA". It matches the Rfam family "Bacterial small subunit ribosomal RNA", at positions 29 to 526 of the family's 1533-position model. The record is from RNAcentral.